This is a long non-coding RNA of Peromyscus eremicus (cactus mouse), 1123 nucleotides long. RefSeq lists it as uncharacterized. The record is from RefSeq and is a predicted model, not a curated record. NCBI's taxonomy places the organism in Eukaryota, Metazoa, Chordata, Mammalia, Rodentia, Cricetidae. The transcript is spliced from 3 exons.
UGGUUAAAGUUGACAAUAUGACAGCAAUCUAAGCCACUGCUGGUUAGUGGUCAUUGUAAAAAUGCAUGUGGCUGCCAAGUAUGUGUGCUCUUCUUUGAAUCCAUGUCUGUGUCGCCUCUAAACUUCUCCUUUUAAAGGAAAAGAAUUCAUCAGCAGAUCUGAGUUAGAAGUCCUAUUGCCAGCCACUGCUUACUUCCACCGACAGUGCAGUGUUUACCUGGGACUUGGAAACUCAUAAAUCACGGUUCUUCUAGGGACCCUGUCAGCCCCAGACACAUGUGGCAAUGUCUGCAGUCCUCUGAGUUUGUGGAGGCGGAGAGAGCCAAGGAGGUUAUAGCAUGUGUUCCACACAGAAGGUGCCCCAGCAUAGAGGGCAAAGCCUGGGAUGCUCUGCUGUGCCAGCCGACCUGAACCUCCGUGUAGACUCUAGUUCAGCCACCCAUCCUGAGGCUGAGCCUGGAGGCGUCCUGGUAACCUCAAAGCAAUGAUGCCCCUGAGCUCCUGAGCCAGGCACCUGGAGGAGAGACCACAGGGAGCCUCAGAUGCCAAUCAGUCCACAGAGUCAAAGUGAGUGUGAAAAUCAACGUCGGACGUUCUUUCCAAACACGAGGCAGGAUCAGCACCUCUGGGGGGGGGGGGGUCAGGCAUGUGAGCGUGUGAGUGUCCUGCCUUGCACACUGGAGGCUCAUAAAUGGCACUUGGGUUGGAGCUGGCUAUGUGUGACAUGGGACAGGGGUCAAGGGAAACCCGGUAACCUGUUACACCUGUAGUUCUCUGCCAAGUCCCUUUUUCCUAUAAAGAAAAAUGCUUCCUUUUCAGGCCUUCUGACCAAGAUAUAAAAGCAAGUAUCUUCCAGGCAACUUUCACAGCAGCAGCAGGAAGGCAGCUGGGGACUGUGCCCACAUCCAGGCCUCCACUUCGUGAGCUCUGAAAGCAGAGAAGCACUGGGUUCAAUUUCUGCCGUCAGCCUGGCAUUCUGGCGUCAGCUGCCUUUUUCCUACUUAAUUCUCUUUAACCACAGAACUGUGCAGCUUAUCCUGAGUUAUGAUAUCACCAACUGCAGUCCUUAGUACAGUUAAUCACUAUUACACAAGUCAGUCUUGCCCAGGUACCCAUGGACAGA